RNAcentral lists this small nuclear RNA (316 nucleotides) under Nannospalax galili (Upper Galilee mountains blind mole rat). RNAcentral's name for it is "7SK RNA (ENSNGAG00000006908.1)". It matches the Rfam family "7SK RNA". Rfam says of the family: 7SK was discovered as an abundant small nuclear RNA in the mid-70s but a possible function has only recently been suggested. The record is from RNAcentral. Lineage: Eukaryota; Metazoa; Chordata; Mammalia; Rodentia; Spalacidae.
GAAACUGGGGGUGUGAGGUCUGACUGCAGCCUGUCACUUCACUGAUUGCCGGGGUUCAUUCAGCUAAUCCAGCUGACUGGGCUGCCUGUCCCCUUCCUCCCUCUCUGCUUCAUGUGCAUCCCUCCUGAAGCUGUGAGCUCCAUUUCCCCAGCAGAGGUAGAUCAGUCUUUCAUCAGGGGUAUAUGAGUAGAUAUGCUCCCCUGGAAGAUCUGCCAAACUCUCAAUAAUGAAUGAUCAUUUGUUACUCAAAAGAAAAUUCUACAGCAAUGUUCCUUUUCAUUGUUGAUAGCUUUUACUAUAUUUUUGAUCAAUUUAU